UGACCCUGGGAGAGAAAAAACUACUGAAUCACCUAAAGUACAUAUCACCAUUCCCACCCUACUGAGGACACAUCUCUCCACCCUCGCUCACGGUGUUGUCAAGAAGAGAUGUGAGCACACAUGGAUCUGAAUGUGUCUAAGCAAGGGGACUGUCUGUCCCUAGGAAGUCUGUCUUCUGCUCCACCAUCCUCCCAGCACUGAUCCAUGAACAUGACAGACCACACAGAUUCCAGAGCAAAGCAGGGACAGUUGGCACGACAACUAGGUUGGUUCAUCACAAACAAACAAAAUUCUCCCUUCACAUAAAGCCUGGAUAUUUCUGUCAACCCUGUAGGUGUUGGUGAUCCACAGGCAAGAUAGAGAAGAAAAAAGACUGGCUCAAUAAAGUAUAAUAGUCCACCCAGUUCUAAAUGAACACUUUUAUCUACCAAUAAUAUAUCCUUGUUCUUCCAUAAAGUGAUUGAAAUUGGCAAUUUGGGAUCUAUUUAUUAGGAGUGUAUGGUGUGUGUGUGUGUGUGUGUGUGUGUGUGUGUGUGUGUGUGUGUGUUGGGAAGAUGCACAAGCAUGAGGGAGCUCAUGGCAAAGAGAUCAAAUUAGGUGCAAUUGUGUUGUUUGGGUGAAUUUGUGGAAGCAAUUUAUAAGUUAGUGAGAGCACAACUCAAGGAGAGACAGUGUAAUGGCCUGGUCUCUGGUUUGCAGAUGGUUAGGUCACAGCUAAAAGGAGCUUUAAAAUAGCCCUUGAUUUAAAAAAUAAUGAUCAAUUACAAUUAAAAUGUGACAGUGACAUUGGGAGCUAACUACGCAAACUUCUGAAUAUGACAGAAGUUUUAAAAAAAUACUCCCUCUGGAAACAGAUAAUAUCCAUAUCUAAGAAAAGCAGAUAGUGCAGGCCAUUCAUAUUCCAGUGACGACAUCUCCUGAAGCUGCAUGUCUAUCAGAUCUGAGAGACAAGCUCUCUCUAAGCAUCUGAAAAGUUCCUUACACCUAACAUUUAAUCAAUAUCCUCCAUGGUCUCACCCUCUGUCACUUUGUUUGCAUACAUGUAUUCCAAGUACUCUCUAUUAACCGGAAGACUGUCUUAGAAAAAUCCAAAUUCCCAUUUGAAAUAAUAUGUAACAUGGAAAUGUGGGCAUGUGAUGUAUUUCUGUGAUUGUGGGUAGGUAUAGAAAUAGAGAGGUAACUUCAGAGGGAUUCGUCCUUAGAUUUUUACUUCAGAUCAAGUAUCCUCAGGUUAAAAUAAAGUGAUUCCUUUUCAAUUAUAAUUUAUAAUAUCAAAUAUUUACUAGUGCCUUCCAUAUAUAAGAUGCACUGGUAGAUGCUAAGGAGAUAAAAAGAUGAGUAAAUAUAUGAUCCCUGACCACAGGUUGUUUAUAAUCUAGUCUAGCAAGGGAGAUGAGAUAUAGAACCAAAUAACUGUAAAUUAAGAUGGCCUGUGAUAGUUGCUAUUAGAGAGAUACAAUUAAAGUGUUAUCAGCAUUCAGUGUUUUCCUGGAUAAGAGAUGAAGGAAAGUGAAUAUAGUGGUCCAUUUGUUCUUUGAAGAUUUGUAUAGAGGGAGAUGUAAGAAGGGAGUCAGAUGGGAGAUAGAGAGGAGAGAGUUUGGAGCAGUUUAAGUAAAGUAAGAAGUGGGAAAACAAGUCAGUAUAGGAAA
Myotis brandtii (Brandt's bat) is the source of this 1649-nucleotide long non-coding RNA. RefSeq lists it as uncharacterized. Lineage: Eukaryota; Metazoa; Chordata; Mammalia; Chiroptera; Vespertilionidae. The transcript is spliced from 2 exons. The record is from RefSeq and is a predicted model, not a curated record.